UGUGGCGUGGCGGGCGAAGGUUUGCCUGCGACGCAGAAGGUUGCGGGUUCGAUUCCCGCCUCAACAA
This 67-nucleotide transfer RNA is filed under the name Operophtera brumata (winter moth). It matches the Rfam family "tRNA". Rfam says of the family: Transfer RNA (tRNA) molecules are approximately 80 nucleotides in length. Their secondary structure includes four short double-helical elements and three loops (D, anti-codon, and T loops). Lineage: Eukaryota; Metazoa; Arthropoda; Insecta; Lepidoptera; Geometridae. The record is from Rfam by way of RNAcentral.